This 528-nucleotide ribosomal RNA is filed under the name uncultured bacterium. RNAcentral describes it as "bacterial SSU rRNA". It matches the Rfam family "Bacterial small subunit ribosomal RNA", at positions 777 to 1304 of the family's 1533-position model. The record is from RNAcentral.
AAUAGAUACCCCGGUAGUCCAUGCCGUAAACGUUGGGCACUAGGUGUGGGGCUCAUUCCACGAGUUCCGUGCCGCAGCAAACGCAUUAAGUGCCCCGCCUGGGGAGUACGGCCGCAAGGCUAAAACUCAAAGGAAUUGACGGGGGCCCGCACAAGCGGCGGAGCAUGCGGAUUAAUUCGAUGCAACGCGAAGAACCUUACCAAGGCUUGACAUGCACGGGAAGCCACCAGAGAUGGUGGUCUCUUUGGACACUCGUGCACAGGUGGUGCAUGGUUGUCGUCAGCUCGUGUCGUGAGAUGUUGGGUUAAGUCCCGCAACGAGCGCAACCCUCGUCCCAUGUUGCCAGCGGGUUAUGCCGGGGACUCAUGGGAGACUGCCGGGGUCAACUCGGAGGAAGGUGGGGAUGACGUCAAAUCAUCAUGCCCCUUAUGUCUUGGGCUUCACGCAUGCUACAAUGGCCGGUACAAGGGCUGCGAUACCGUAAGGUGGAGCGAAUCCCAAAAAGCCGGUCUCAGUUCGGAUUGGGGU